GUCGGACACAGCUGCAGAAGGAGCGCAGCUCAGUCUGAUCUCAUCAUCAGCAGUUACAGCCUGGUUCGUCCCAGCAGUCGCUGCUGGAUCAUUGUUCCUGCUGGUUCCUCACCAGCCACUCUGCCCAUAUCUGCCCAGUCCUGCUCUGUCCUGCCCAGUUCUGCCCAGUCUACCCUGGAACUCUCCCGAGAGAGGCCAGAAUAAUCCCGGAGGUUCCCCCCUCUGUCCUCGCCUCGGCUCCAAGCCGCUGAUCUCCGCUGCACUCCUGCAGCCCUGGCGCCGCCUCCACAGACUGCAGGCUGCAGAACCGGUCUGCCGCCCCCCCGUUUGGACUUAUUUAAUCAAAUAUUGAGCUGCAGGAUUUUCUGGAAGCGUCUCAAACCUUCACUGCAGCUCCAGAAUCUUCCGUUAACGUGACCGAUGUUACAGCACAACGAGGACAGACUGGAGGAGGAUAUAAACCGACAUGAGGAGACGUAUUGAUGCAAGCACCUGAGAAAAGAGGGCUGGACCCUUUGGAGCACCGAUUCGGGCCCGCAGACCACAUGUUGGACACCCCUGGUCUCUAUGACGGCAUAAAUGCAACGUUUUGUGACAUUUAUUAACAGAAAAGGUGUGAAUUUGCAGGAAAAGUUGGUGAGAAAAGAGCCACGGAUGCUGGUUGAUUAGAAGCUGGAGAGACGUAAUGAAUGUAUAUUAAUUCUGUCACAAAGACAAACAUUGAAAUUGCUUUGCGUGUGACUGGAAUGCAUACGAGCCGCUCUGUCUGCCCAGGUGGGCCGAUAAAUAGGAGACAUUUUAAUAACAAAGACCUUGCCUUUAAUUCAGAAUGUUAAGAGCGGCGCCAUUUGUCAGAGCCGGAGCUAUUGAUGUGUUCAUAAUGGAAAUAAAGAACGUAAACACACAGAGGAGAUGGCAGAUGGUGGAAGUAAGACACCUGAGAGAGAGCCAGAGAUUAAAGAAAAAGCUAGAAAUAAUAAUCAUAAAAUAAAAUAAAUCUCACACAAAGAAAGAAACUAAGAAAAGGCACAGACAGGAAGUGCAUCCAGCCUAUUAAUUAAAGCUCAUCCUGAUUGUUCUAAAAACAGUCGACAGACGACGUCACACAUCAAGUCUCUGAUUCCAUCUGCAGCCAGUCGACUGCUUUGAAGAGAAACAGAAAAGAUUAUUAAAUAAGGCAGGAAUCAUUUCAUGUGCUGUCGAGUCAACAGCUACUAAACAGUGACAGUGACGCUGAUUGGCUCUCUGAUAUCUGAGCAACAGAAGGAUGAAGGACAUGAAGCAGAGCAGCACAAAGACACAAGUGUGAGAGACAAUCAGAGGACUAACAAAGAGCCACAGACAACUAGCUCUCCUCCACUUCCAGACAUCUGCGAGCCUCUUUUAUUCUGUUUCCCUGAAAUGAGAGCAGAACGGCGGCUCCUCUCCAGCCAGCGUUGGCCGCUAAUUAACAGCUCUGGAGAGUUUCACCACCACUCCGUCCUCGUUUUCUGGGAGGUUUUAGGGAAACAGGCGAGAUCCGUG
Molecule: long non-coding RNA, 1524 nt
Organism: Amphiprion ocellaris (clown anemonefish)
Lineage: Eukaryota; Metazoa; Chordata; Actinopteri; Pomacentridae
Source: Ensembl